Long non-coding RNA from Vidua chalybeata, 347 nucleotides. RefSeq lists it as uncharacterized. Lineage: Eukaryota; Metazoa; Chordata; Aves; Passeriformes; Viduidae. The transcript is spliced from 3 exons. The record is from RefSeq and is a predicted model, not a curated record.
CACAGCUGGAAAGGGAAAUGCCAGCGUGCACCUCUGGAUUUCGGGACUGCCUCAAGGUGCUCCAGAGGCUCCAAAGAGGACUCAGACAGGGACACUCCAGGAGAAGCUUCAGAUGUCACGGGAAGAGAAAAAUUUGAUUUUCCUUGCAGGAAGAGGGAGCCUGUCCCAGCCUUCCCCCUCAGGCCUCUGACUGCUGCAGUUUGCUUUGCUAAGCACAGGAACAAAAACUGCAACCAUGAAAUUAUUUUAACAAGACCAUGAAAAAGAGGAAAAAAAAAAAAAAGAGAAGAAAAAAGGAUGGUGACAACAACAACAAUUUGCCCAAGUGAUGCUUGGAAAAAAAUAAA